CCUACGGGAUGCAGCAGUGGGGAAUUUUCCGCAAUGGGCGAAAGCCCGAUCCAGCAAUAUCGCGUGAGUGAAGAAGGGCAAUGCCGCUUGUAAAGCUCUUUCGUCGAGUGCGCGAUCAUGACAGGACUCGAGGAAGAAGCCCCGGCUAACUUCGUGCCAGCAGCCGCGGUAAUACGAAGGGGGCUAGCGUUGCUCGGAAUGACUGGGCGUAAAGGGCGCGUAGGCGGUUUAUGCAGUCAGAUGUGGAGUCCCCGGGCUUAACCUGGGAACUGCAUUUGAGACGCAUAGACUAGAGGUCGAGAGAGGGUUGUGGAAUUCCCAGUGUAGAGGUGAAAUUCGUAGAUAUUGGGAAGAACACCGGUGGCGAAGGCGGCAACCUGGCUCGAUACUGACGCUGAGGCGCGAAAGCGUGGGGAGCAAACAGGAUUAGAUACCCGCGUAGUC
This 444-nucleotide ribosomal RNA is filed under the name uncultured bacterium. RNAcentral describes it as "bacterial SSU rRNA". It matches the Rfam family "Bacterial small subunit ribosomal RNA", at positions 338 to 795 of the family's 1533-position model. The record is from RNAcentral.